CAUGAAGGAGAGCAGACAUGUUUUUCCUUUGUGCUGAAUAAACUGCUUGUAAAUAUGCUUUACAUAUGCCUCUGUCUGCCACUUCUGUUGUGUGUUAUUCACUCUGCUGGUUAAGGCGUGCUCAAGUUUCUGAAGGCUUCUGAAGCUGUGAGUCGCCGUUUGAUGCUGUUCCAAAGGACUGGCGUUCUCCCGGCUGCCGGCCGGUGAGCUGGAGCCAGAAGGGGGCCUGCGAAUUGCCCCCGUUCCUUUAGUCACAUCCCAGCAAUCAGAGCCGGGGUACUCAAUGUGAUGCCCUCUGAGUGUUUUUGAAUUACAACUCUUAUCAUUCUGACCAUUGGCCAAUUUGGGCCUGAUAGGAGUUGUAGUCAAAAACAUAUGGAGGGUACCAGGUAUGAGGAGGUUGUGUUCCACCAGGUGUGUACCAGUUGUACUGUGUGUACCCACAGCCAUGGUAGCAGCUGUUAGGAGCUCGUCCUACUCUCAAGUAGGACCCUGGCAGAAACAUAUGCCCAACUGGCAUGUUCCCUCCCUCCUGGUCAAUUGUUCAGGAGCUUCAAAAGCUUUCUUCAGCCCGAACAUCACAGCGACUGAUGCCAACAGACAUUGGCACACUUAGGGAUCUGCAGAAUCUUCGCAGCUUGCAUAACAGACCUCGGCAACUCAGCAUUUUGGCUAAUCUACUUUAUUUACAUAUAAACACACACGGAGCACUGCAACAUGGCUCCCUCCCUCUCUAGCACCAGAAAGAACAAAGGACAAUAGUCCCACUUCAUGGAACACAGUAACACAAACAUCCUGUCUCCGCCACUUCCCACUCUGUGGAGCCAAAACGUACACCAUCAUGUGAUAGACAACAAUCCCAUGACUGCAAUCGUGGAGCAGGAAUUCUAACAGCAGCAACACCCCCUUGCUAACCUCACUGCCUGGUUGCCAGGCAGCCAUUCUAGUGGCAGUGCCACUCUUGAUUGGGGAUCAAGUUUAGCUGUGGUGGCUGUCCAGCAUCUUAAAUUACCCAAAAUGCAAAGCCCCAGACUAUAGAUCCAUAAAACAUAAGCAGAAUGGGCCCUUCUGAACCCCAGGAGCCCUUAAUGCCUGGCUGGCUGGCUGCUGGCCCGUUCUUAUUCUGUGAAACAGUAUUUUAAAAAUUACAAACUAAAUAAAACAAUCCUCCAAACAUCAGAAGCGGCAUCUUCCAUAAUCGACCCAAACCUAUCCCCCCCCCCCCUCUCUUUCCUUUCGGCAGUAUGGGACAAAACUAAAAGCUAUGUUUCUGUCCUAAUGUGUUGUCCAUCAUUACCGAUGCCGAGCGCACGGUGUGAUUAUCUUUUUCUGUUUUUUGACUUUCCGUUUCAGUGCUGCUGGGGAAAUCCAAGAUCAGUUCCUGACUCACAACGUCUUUAUUAUGCACCCAUAAAUCAUGCAUGGAAAAGCUCUGACAGCUGAGGAUGUAAACGACCAGGAAGCUAAGCCCUCAAGGCUUGUAAAGAAAGAAAAAAAAUCUGUGUUAUCUCUGCUUCCUUUUUUAUUUUUGUAUGGAUAGUGUUGUCUUGGCCUUCUCCAGGAAAAAAGACUCCUCUCUCUCCCCAUUGUCCUCCCUGUCCUUCAUCUGACAUCUAAGCACCCUUCACACAGAGAUGAAUUCUGCAGGAAACUCUUUUGACAAGAGCCUUCUCGCAGGGACCAGAAUCUUAUAUACUGUGUCGGAAAAAUUCUGGGUGCAUAUUUACUCCACUGCCCAACUCAGCAAAAGAAGGAAUCUCCAGCCAAGUAAAGAAGCAAAUCUGCAGUCAGUAGACCUGAUCUUUAUUGUUGCAACAAGGUUCAAACACACAUGGAGUAGGAAGCCCAAGCAUGGGGUUGCGUGGACUUUUAAGACCUUCCCUCCCUUCCCAUAAUCCAUUUCCAGAUACAUCAUUGAUACAUCACCAAUGUGUCACCAAGAAGGAGGGGAUAUUGCGUGGUCCAUCAUUCACCCCGUUAUCAGAGUCAGUUCCCGACAUCUUCUAAGUACCCACCACCAAGAGAACAAUUAAACAAUUUACAC
Molecule: non-coding RNA, 2044 nt
Organism: Podarcis lilfordi (Lilford's wall lizard)
Lineage: Eukaryota; Metazoa; Chordata; Lepidosauria; Squamata; Lacertidae
Source: the annotation of a GenBank genome assembly